RNAcentral lists this ribosomal RNA (587 nucleotides) under Salmonella enterica. Its description in RNAcentral is "partial 23S ribosomal RNA". It matches the Rfam family "Bacterial large subunit ribosomal RNA", at positions 602 to 1190 of the family's 2925-position model. The record is from RNAcentral. Lineage: Bacteria; Pseudomonadati; Pseudomonadota; Gammaproteobacteria; Enterobacterales; Enterobacteriaceae. RNAcentral also lists the same sequence under 1 other name.
UACCUUUUGUAUAAUGGGUCAGCGACUUAUAUUCUGUAGCAAGGUUAACCGUAUAGGGGAGCCGCAGGGAAACCGAGUCUUAAUUGGGCGUUAAGUUGCAGGGUAUAGACCCGAAACCCGGUGAUCUAGCCAUGGGCAGGUUGAAGGUUGGGUAACACUAACUGGAGGACCGAACCGACUAAUGUUGAAAAAUUAGCGGAUGACCUGUGGCUGGGGGUGAAAGGCCAAUCAAACCGGGAGAUAGCUGGUUCUCCCCGAAAGCUAUUUAGGUAGCGCCUCGUGAAUUCAUCUCCGGGGGUAGAGCACUGUUUCGGCUAGGGGGCCAUCCCGGCUUACCAACCCGAUGCAAACUGCGAAUACCGGAGAAUGUUAUCACGGGAGACACACGGCGGGUGCUAACGUCCGUCGUGAAGAGGGAAACAACCCAGACCGCCAGCUAAGGUCCCAAAGUCAUGGUUAAGUGGGAAACGAUGUGGGAAGGCCCAGACAGCCAGGAUGUUGGCUUAGAAGCAGCCAUCAUUUAAAGAAAGCGUAAUAGCUCACUGGUCGAGUCGGCCUGCGCGGAAGAUGUAACGGGGCUAAACCAU